UUGUCAGUGAGGUUAAUCCUUACCUGUUCCUUCUCCGGGAGAAACAGCACAUGAUGAAUGGAGGAGACUGAGUCGCUGAUUACUCUGUACUCCGGUCCUGUCUGGUGUGACAUUCCAGUCUGGGUCAUUCUGAUUC
This 136-nucleotide small nucleolar RNA is filed under the name Xenopus laevis (African clawed frog). RNAcentral describes it as "U8 snoRNA". It matches the Rfam family "U8 small nucleolar RNA". Rfam says of the family: U8 is a member of the C/D class of snoRNA which contain the C (UGAUGA) and D (CUGA) box motifs. U8 is the RNA component of a small complex (the U8 snoRNP) which is required for accumulation of mature large subunit ribosomal RNAs, 5.8S and 28S rRNAs. The record is from RNAcentral. Lineage: Eukaryota; Metazoa; Chordata; Amphibia; Anura; Pipidae.